Molecule: long non-coding RNA, 1911 nt
Organism: Harpia harpyja (harpy eagle)
Lineage: Eukaryota; Metazoa; Chordata; Aves; Accipitriformes; Accipitridae
Exons: 3
Source: RefSeq, a predicted model, not a curated record
UGGUAGUGGAGGAGACCUUGCGUAUCGUCAUUGGUUCCACAGAGGCAGUCUGUAAUCUGUACGACGCGUCCAAGAAACAAAAAGAUGUGAUUUUAAGAGAGCGAUGACCUCUCUUUCUUCACACCUGGCUCAGGCAGUCUCCUGGGAAAGAAGCAGCUGUGUGGAUGAGGCAGCUAGUGAACAAUCUGAUCUGCCAUGAGAUGCUGACAAGCCCAAAGACCAAGCAGCAUUGUUCCAGGAGAUACAGGCUGCCCCAGUCAUGAUUCCUUCCUCUUCCUUAUCACACUUACUCGUCACCUUAUAAUCAUGAAGAGGACAAAUGAUCCUGAUCUAUUUCUACAAAGGCAGAUCCUGUUCUGGCAUCUGAACAGCUGAGUAGGAGGUAUGUAUAUAUUUAAAGACAAGAUGCUAUGCAUACAGAGCAGAUUCUUAUUUGGUUCUUAUACUGGUUUAUAUUCAGCUCUAAAUGCAGUUCAGAUGAUAUUUUCCAAACCAUUUACUUCUCUCCAUUUAGUUCAUCAAAGUUAUUCAAAUCUGGAUUUUAAACCUGUGUUUCUACAAAGUUGACUGGAAGCAGAUUUCAUUUACCUAAUGUAAAGGUUAGACUCAGCACACAGAUUAAGAUACCUAAAUUUAGGUGUCUGCACGUAGGUGUUUACAUGUGAGCUAGCUGUCGUAGCUCCCAUCGCGGUCAGAGGAGGCACCUAUGGUUGGUUAGCUUGAUAGCGCUCAAGAUUCAUUGACUACUGAUCAGAUCACCAUUAGCUGUAAAGGAAGCUUAGACACCUAACUCGCAUCUUGAAAACACAUACUGUUAAGUGUCUCAAACUGCAAACUGAACCUGAUCUCAGGCAUUUAUAAAAUAGACGUCAAAAGCUGAGCAAGUACUUAUUGAGUAAUUUCCCAGUAUAAUCAAUGAAGAGCUGGUCAGUGGAGCUUAGGGUGUGAUUAAUCCAAUCAACUGUAAGUGUCUGUUUUAUAACGAGCUGAACCCUAAACUCCUUUGACUAGCCCUCCAGCAAGCAGAAUGGGAGCCUAGACACCUAGUUUAUGUAUAGGCACAUUGUAGACACCUAAGGUUAAGAUCAAUCCUGCCCUAUGUGGCUACUACAUGAGGAGAUCCUCUUGUCUGACUUCUUGCAUGAAACAGGCUGUAGAACUGAGCUCAGCAGUCUCUGGAUAAGCAGUCUCACAAAAAAGGUGGUUAGGUACACUUGCGACCCCACUCAUCUAUGGCUUGCCCGGAGACUCUGCACAUACCAGGCUUUUCCCAGCUCUUCCACAAAGUCUAGACAAGGAGAAAAAAGAUUCCUUUAUGCACAAUAAAGGCAGGGGGUCACCGACGAUUCCUUCUUGGGUGUGACUGAUGCAGGACACAACAUGAUUACACCUUUCUGGCUCAAUGUAGAUGUUUCAGACAAAAUUAUCAAGAAAAGGCUGAUGCAGCUUGUGUGACAGAUUUUCAUGAUUGUAUGGAAAGUCCGAGAUGUAUUUGAAGUGACAAAUUAUGUGUCAUUUAAUUAGCUGAUACAGUGGAUAUGUUGGCCCUGCCAGAGGGUACUUCUAAACUCUUUGUACCAACUAAUUUUAGUUGAGAGACAGUACAAUGAACUUAGUCCAUUUUCUGCAUUUUUCCCAAAUGCAGAUUUCACCCUUUAUCUUAACUGAAGAGGGAGCAGCACCUUAUAUUUUCCAUUAUCUCCUCUGCUUCUAAUUAAAAUUCAACUAUGGGUCAAAUCCUUGGCUGGAAAGAGUGUAUACAGACCAGGAUCUGCCUUGUAUAAAAAAGUUACAAAAACAGGAUGUGUUUUAUUUGACUGGAGUGAACUUAAUGGUCAGGGGUCAUUUUCAUUUAAGACAUUUUUUCUCAUGGUUUUCAAAUGUAUUUUGUUUCUUAAAUGACAGCAAAAA